UGCCUGCAGAGAAUGUUCCAGAAGUGCCUC
Molecule: non-coding RNA, 30 nt
Filed under: Mus musculus (house mouse)
Lineage: Eukaryota; Metazoa; Chordata; Mammalia; Rodentia; Muridae
Source: RNAcentral